CAUCAGGUAACAUCAAAUCGUACCCCAAACCGACACAGGUGGUCAGGUAGAGAAUACCAAGGCGCUUGAGAGAACUCGGGUGAAGGAACUAGGCAAAAUGGUGCCGUAACUUCGGGAGAAGGCACGCUGAUAUGUAGGUGAAGCGACUUGCUCGUGGAGCUGAAAUCAGUCGAAGAUACCAGCUGGCUGCAACUGUUUAUUAAAAACACAGCACUGUGCAAACACGAAAGUGGACGUAUACGGUGUGACGC
Molecule: ribosomal RNA, 251 nt
Filed under: Staphylococcus saprophyticus
Lineage: Bacteria; Bacillati; Bacillota; Bacilli; Caryophanales; Staphylococcaceae
Description: partial 23S ribosomal RNA
Rfam family: Bacterial large subunit ribosomal RNA
Source: RNAcentral